This is a non-coding RNA of Malaclemys terrapin pileata, 369 nucleotides long. The record is from the annotation of a RefSeq genome assembly. Lineage: Eukaryota; Metazoa; Chordata; Testudines; Emydidae.
UACCCUAUCAAGAUGAUCCCCCGCACUCAGCUUCUCUGGCUCCUUGUCCUCUGCAUUCAGGACUCCAGUGGGCAGAUUGUGAUGACUCAGAGUCCACAAUCCCUGUUGGUGUCUCCAGGAGACAGAGUCACCAUCAACUGCAAAGCCAGUGCCAGCAUUGGUGGUACUAUAGCCUGGUACCAGCAGAAAUCGGGACAAGCUCCUAAGCUCCUUAUCCACAGCGCUUCCACCCGUCCCUCUGGGAUCCCAGACCGGUUCAGCGGCAGUGGGUCGGGCACUGACUACACAUUCACCAUCAGCAAGGUAGAAGCGGAUGAUGCUGGAGAUUAUUAUUGUCAGCAGCAUUAUAGCACCCCUCUCACACAGUGA